RNAcentral lists this ribosomal RNA (301 nucleotides) under uncultured bacterium. RNAcentral describes it as "partial 16S ribosomal RNA". It matches the Rfam family "Bacterial small subunit ribosomal RNA", at positions 509 to 807 of the family's 1533-position model. The record is from RNAcentral.
CAGUAGCCGCGGUAAUACGUAGGGUGCAAGCGUUAAUCGGAAUUACUGGGCGUAAAGCGUGCGCAGGCGGUUUGUUAAGACAGAUGUGAAAUCCCCGGGCUUAACCUGGGAACUGCAUUUGUGACUGGCAAGCUAGAGUAUGGCAGAGGGGGGUGGAAUUCCGCGCGUAGCAGUGAAAUGCGUAGAUAUGCGGAGGAACACCGAUGGCGAAGGCAGCCCCCUGGGCCAAUACUGACGCUCAUGCACGAAAGCGUGGGGAGCAAACAGGAUUAGAUACCCCCGUAGUCCCUGUCUCUUAUAC